RNAcentral lists this ribosomal RNA (252 nucleotides) under uncultured bacterium. RNAcentral describes it as "partial 16S ribosomal RNA". It matches the Rfam family "Bacterial small subunit ribosomal RNA", at positions 524 to 776 of the family's 1533-position model. The record is from RNAcentral.
UACGUAGGGGGCGAGCGUUGUCCGGAAUCACUGGGCGUAAAGGGUUCGCAGGCGGUUUACCAAGUCCGAUGUGAAAGGCAUGGGCUCAACCCAUGUAAGCAUUGGAAACUGGUAGACUUGAGUUAAGGAGAGGUAAGUGGAAUUCCUAGUGUAGCGGUGAAAUGCGUAGAUAUUAGGAAGAAUACCGGUGGCGAAGGCGACUUACUGGACUUAAACUGACGCUGAGGAACGAAAGCGUGGGGAGCAAACAGG